AGCAUAUCAAUAAGCGGAGGAAAAGAAACUAACAAGGAUUCCCCUAGUAACUGCGAGUGAAGAGGGAAAAGCUCAAAUUUAAAAUCUGACAGUCUAUGGCUGUCCGAGUUGUAAAUUAGAGAAGUGUUAUCUGCUCAAGCCUGUGCAAAAGUCUCUUGGAAAAGGGCAUCAUAGAGGGUGACAAUCCCGUCUUUGGCACAGAUCACUUGCGCUUUUGUGAUGCGCUCUCAAUGAGUCGAGUUGUUUGGGAAUGCAGCUCCAAAUGGGUGGUAAAUUCCAUCUAAAGCUAAAUAUUGGCGAGAAACCGAUAGCGCACAAGUACCGUGAGGGAAAGAUGAAAAGAACUUUGAAAAGAGAGUUAAACAGUACGUGAAAUUGUUGAAAGGGAAACGCUUGGAGUCAGUCGUGUUCUGCAAAAUCAACCUAACCUUUGGUUGGGUGUAUUUUUUGUAGAAUGGGUCAGCAUCAAUUUUGAUUGUUGGAAAAAGGACUUGGGAAUGUGGCAUCUUUGGAUGUGUUAUAGCCCUUGUUUGUAUACAAUGAUUGGGAUUGAGGAACUCAGUGUGACUUUUGUUUGGGGGCAUUGCCUCACAUCAACGCACUUAGGAUGCUGGCAUAAUGGCUUUAAUCGACCCGUCUUGAAACACGGACCAAGGAGUCUAACAUGCAUGCAAGUGUUUGGGUGGAAAACUCAAGCGCGUAAUGAAAGUGAAAGUUGAGAACCCUGUCGUGGGGUGCAUCGACGCCCGGUCUUGACCUUUUGUGACGGACCUGCGGUAGAGCAUGUAUGUUGGGACCCGAAAGAUGGUGAACUAUGCCUGAAUAGGGUGAAGCCAGAGGAAACUCUGGUGGAAGCUCGUAGCGAUUCUGACGUGCAAAUCGAUCGUCGAAUUUGGGUAUAGGGGCGAAAGAC
Molecule: ribosomal RNA, 913 nt
Filed under: Hodophilus micaceus
Lineage: Eukaryota; Fungi; Basidiomycota; Agaricomycetes; Agaricales; Clavariaceae
Also listed under: 1 other name
Description: LSU rRNA
Rfam family: Eukaryotic large subunit ribosomal RNA
Source: RNAcentral